GACAGAGGGUGCAAACGUUGUUCGGAAUUACUGGGCGUAAAGCGCGUGUAGGCGGCUCUGCAAGUCGGAUGUGAAAGCCCUCGGCUCAACCGUGGAAGUGCAUCCGAAACUGCAUGGCUGGAGUCUCGGAGAGGAAGGUGGAAUGCUUGGUGUAGAGGUGAAAUUCGUAGAUAUCAAGCAGAACACCUGCGGCGAAGGCGGCCUUCUGGACGAUGACUGACGCUGAGACGCGAAAGCGUGGGGAGCAAACAGG
Molecule: ribosomal RNA, 253 nt
Filed under: uncultured bacterium
Lineage: Bacteria
Description: partial 16S ribosomal RNA
Rfam family: Bacterial small subunit ribosomal RNA
Source: RNAcentral